GACGAACGCUGGCGGCGUGCUUAACACAUGCAAGUCGAACGGAAAGGCCCUGCUUUUGUGGGGUGCUCGAGUGGCGAACGGGUGAGUAACACGUGAGUAACCUGCCCUUGACUUUGGGAUAACUUCAGGAAACUGGGGCUAAUACCGGAUAGGAGCCCCUGCUGCAUGGUGGGGGUUGGAAAGUUUCGGCGGUUGGGGAUGGACUCGCGGCUUAUCAGCUUGUUGGUGGGGUAGUGGCUUACCAAGGCUUUGACGGGUAGCCGGCCUGGGAGGGUGACCGGCCACAUUGGGACUGAGAGACGGCCCAGACUCCUACGGGAGGCAGCAGUGGGGAAUAUUGCACAAUGGGCGGAAGCCUGAUGCAGCAACGCCGCGUGCGGGAUGACGGCCUUCGGGUUGUAAACCGCUUUCGCCUGUGACGAAGCGUGAGUGACGGUAAUGGGUAAAGAAGCACCGGCUAACUACGUG
RNAcentral lists this ribosomal RNA (468 nucleotides) under uncultured bacterium. RNAcentral's name for it is "partial 16S ribosomal RNA". It matches the Rfam family "Bacterial small subunit ribosomal RNA", at positions 28 to 507 of the family's 1533-position model. The record is from RNAcentral.